CGCAGGAUGGACCCCAACCCCGACUGCCACGCCCCUUAUGACGUCACGUAGCGUCGGCACGCCCGUCGCCCGGCCCUCCGGGCUUGUAGGAAGAGAAGCGAGGGGUCCGGAACCGUCCGGCGUCGUCCGCGCAGCCUCCCUCUUUCCUCCCCGGCUGUCAGCCUGGCCCCGCCCUCUCAGCCUUCCAAUAGGCUCUCGGCCCCGCCCCGCCCGUUCCUGCUUCCGCCAUCGCUGCGCCGCGUCCGCUUUGCCCUGCAAUUUUCCCAGUGCCGGUUUCUAGUGCUCGCUGUCCAACUUCAGGGUAUUUUUGCUCUCGCUCAGAGUUCCGACUUCCACCCCGGCCAUUUAGUCCCGUGGUCACAAGGAGCAGUUGCUGUGUUAGGACCCAGUGGAUGAUGAAACACCAGAGACCACAUAGCUAGAGAAUGGCCAGACUCAGUUUUGAAUCUAAGCAAUCUUGACUCCAGAGCCCUCCAGCUUAAAGGAUGGCCGUCUGAGAGUGACUUCUGAUGGCCUCGCCAGCAACCACACAAGGUCUCUUACGGCUAAGACUCUGGAACUCACACAGCGUUGCUUUUGUCACCGUCUGUUGGUCAAGGACAGUCUCAAGGCCCACCCAGAUUCAAGGGAGUGGAGAGAUAGCCUCUGCAUCUUGAUGGAAAGGGUGGCAACAUCAUACUGCAAAAAUGCAUGUGGAUACAGGAAAGUGUGACUCAUUGGGGAGCAUUAUUAUAAUGUUUUUCCAUAGCUGACAUUUCCCACAGGAUAACAUUCUGCUUGCCAGCCUUCCUGUUAUGCCCACAGCUUCCUUUAAAUAGGGGUGCUUGGGUGGCUCGGUCGGUUAAGUGUCCAACUCUUGAUUUCAGCUCAGGUUAUGA
Lynx canadensis (Canada lynx) is the source of this 878-nucleotide long non-coding RNA. RefSeq lists it as uncharacterized. The record is from RefSeq and is a predicted model, not a curated record. The transcript is spliced from 3 exons. NCBI's taxonomy places the organism in Eukaryota, Metazoa, Chordata, Mammalia, Carnivora, Felidae.